GUGCGACGUGAAAGUUGCACCACAGAAGUCCCUUGAAAAAGGGUAAGGUUGAUCCGAAACCUUAUUGCCACUUACUCGGUGCAAGAGGAGUAAUUCUCUUGUGCUAAGCGAGAAUGAAAGCCUAACUAAAGUAUUAAGCUGAAUAAGAAAUAGGGGCAAGGCAAAACUGAAAUGGGUUGAAUAAAGUGAAUCUCCGUUAUUAAAAUGUCGUAAGCAAGUAAAACACGAAAUCAGAUGUGACGUGUUAUGGGGAAGUUUAACGACAGUUAGAAACGGGUAAAGAAGAGUGUUCGUUCUUUACGACGGAUCCCGUUCCCCGGCAUAGAGGAGGCAGCCCACUCAAUGUAUCUUCAUGGUGUGAAACACGGUAACCCCAUUAAUCUUUUAGUGUUGAUGUAAAUACUAAGAGACAGUGGGCAUAAGACGUUCCAAAAAGCGAAGGCAAUCAGCCGAAAGGCAACUGGAAAUCAUAACAGGAUUGAUAGAGGUAAUUACUUUACUCUGAAAAGAGGCUGACGUGGAACGGGUGACUUACCCAUAUAAUCCUUUACCAAGGUUAUGAAUUGAUUUAGAAGAGUUAGAUGCCUAUGGCAAACGUAAUAAAUCAAAACUAUGAACAACAACUGGAAUGGCAUGCUAUUAACUGGCGUGUUGUGACAGCCAUGAUUAAUAAUCUAAGGCAAAGAAUAUAUAGGGCUUCAGCAACAGGUGACUUAAAGAAAGUCAGAAAUCUGCAAAAACUCAUGAUGAAAUCAAGAGCUAACCAUCUUCUGGCUAUCAGGAAAGUCACUCAGGUCAAUCGGGGAAAACACACGGCUGGAGUAGAUAAUCAGGUAAUUAAUGACCAUAAAGGACGAGAACAUCUUUAUAAGUUAUUAAGCCAAACAACUUCAGAAAAGGUUUAUCCAGUAAAACGAGUUUACAUAGCAAAAAAGAAUGGAAAAAAACGCCCUCUUGGGAUCCCAACCAUUCUCGACCGCUGUAGACAAGCGAUAGUUAAAUCGGCGCUGGAACCUUAUUGGGAAGCAAAAUUUGAACCAGUCAGCUACGGAUUUAGACCGGGGCGAAGUGCCCAUGACGCAAUACAAAAAAUUUUCUGUAUUGCCAGAGCACGAGGGACACGGCACUGGGUACUAGAUGCAGAUAUUAAAGGCGCAUUUGACAACAUUGACCAUAAUUUUCUCAUAAAAAAAAUCGGGGGAUUCCCCGAAAGAAACAUGAUUAAACAAUGGUUACAAGCCGGUGUGCUGGAACAUGGCAACUAUAUACCCAAUGUUGCAGGUACUCCGCAAGGCGGGAUUAUCAGUCCACUACUGGCCAAUAUUGCACUCCACGGAAUGGAGACCUUACUGGGUAUUCAAUACUGGAAAAACGGCACGCCAAAACAAGGGCAACCUUAUGCAGUAGUUCGUUAUGCGGAUGAUUUUGUCGUAUUCGGUAAAUCCCGUGAAGAGUGCGAAACUGCCAAAAUAAAGUUGCAAAUUUGGUUAGCUCAGAGAGGGUUAGCUCUUUCUGAAGAAAAAACCAGUAUCAAACACUUGAAGGAAGGAUUCGACUUCCUGGGAUUUAAUAUACGACAUUAUGACAAUCGCCACAGAAAACGGGGAUAUAUAUUGUUAACGAAGCCCUCAAAGGAGUCGAUGAAAAGGUACAAACAGCAAAUGAGAAUGACCUGGAAAGGUAUUAUCGGUAUGCCGACACAAGAAGGAAUAAGACAACUGAAUGCCAAGAUAAUAGGAUGGUGUAAUUACUAUCGUAUUG
RNAcentral lists this non-coding RNA (1761 nucleotides) under Candidatus Hamiltonella defensa 5AT (Acyrthosiphon pisum). Lineage: Bacteria; Pseudomonadati; Pseudomonadota; Gammaproteobacteria; Enterobacterales; Enterobacteriaceae. The record is from RNAcentral.